UACGAAGGGGGCUAGCGUUGUUCGGAUUUACUGGGCGUAAAGCGCACGUAGGCGGAUUGUUAAGUCGGGGGUGAAAUCCCAGGGCUUAACCCUGGAACUGCCUUCGAUACUGGCAAUCUCGAGUCCGGAAGAGGUGAGUGGAACUCCUAGUGUAGAGGUGGAAUUCGUAGAUAUUAGGAAGAACACCAGUGGCGAAGGCGGCUCACUGGUCCGGUACUGACGCUGAUGUGCGAAAGCGUGGGGAGCAAACAGG
RNAcentral lists this ribosomal RNA (253 nucleotides) under uncultured bacterium. RNAcentral's name for it is "partial 16S ribosomal RNA". It matches the Rfam family "Bacterial small subunit ribosomal RNA", at positions 524 to 776 of the family's 1533-position model. The record is from RNAcentral.